UACGGAGGAUGCGAGCGUUAUCCGGAUUUAUUGGGUUUAAAGGGUGCGUAGGCGGGCUUUUAAGUCAGCGGUAAAAAUUCGGGGCUCAACCCCGUCCGGCCGUUGAAACGGGGGGCCUUGAGUGGGCGAGAAGAAGGCGGAAUGCGUGGUGUAGCGGUGAAAUGCAUAGAUAUCACGCAGAACCCCGAUUGCGAAGGCAGCCUUCCGGCGCCCUACUGACGCUGAGGCACGAAAGUGCGGGGAUCGAACAGG
RNAcentral lists this ribosomal RNA (252 nucleotides) under uncultured bacterium. RNAcentral describes it as "partial 16S ribosomal RNA". It matches the Rfam family "Bacterial small subunit ribosomal RNA", at positions 524 to 776 of the family's 1533-position model. The record is from RNAcentral.